CCUCCCGUGGUGUAAAGUAGCACGGCCGACUUAUGAUCGGUAAGCCCUAGAUGUGGGCGCAGUCCGGGUGCGAGUCCUGGCGGGAGGACCA
Molecule: transfer RNA, 91 nt
Filed under: Chthoniobacterales bacterium
Lineage: Bacteria; Pseudomonadati; Verrucomicrobiota; Spartobacteria; Chthoniobacterales
Description: tRNA-Ile
Rfam family: tRNA
About the family: Transfer RNA (tRNA) molecules are approximately 80 nucleotides in length. Their secondary structure includes four short double-helical elements and three loops (D, anti-codon, and T loops).
Source: RNAcentral